CAUCAACAAACAAAACCUAAUCCAAGUUCCCUCCCGCUCCCCCUUCUCUUCCUUCACCGUCCGAUUCUCUUCUUCUCAUCGUCGUCCUCCUCCUCGUCUUCUUAUCUACAUCCAGGUUCCUCUCGCGUAUCUCCCAUCGAGGGGGAGAACGACGCCGUAAGCCGACCGUCUUCUAGAGUCGGGUCUGAGUAAAAGUUUCUCUCUUUCUGUACUGGAACUCCAGUGGCCAUUGAUGAUUGAUAUGUGAAUCUGAAGAAGGUGCAAUGGCGUUGGUAGUUCAUCAGAUGCAGAGUCCUAUUUCUCCACAUUCACCUAGUUCUAAACCAUCAACAAGAGGGGUGAACUGGAGAACCUUGACGGUUCAUUUCAAUAACAGAAUUCCUGAUUUUGCAUCAUUGAAGCAUGAUAUCAAUUUCAGGUCAGGUAUUCUCAUGGUUAGCUACAAAUGUUGUGACAGAGGGCAUCCUAUCUGUUUCAAGAAGAAAGCUUCCAGAGUUUCUUCUUUUAAAGGCAAUGCACAGAACAAUAGGCCUGAUAGAAAGGACUCAAAGAUUUCUAGACCACCAGUCCAGAUUUCUAGGAUGCAGCAAGGAAAAGAGGAAUUUCUGUCUGAAUCUCUUGAUAUCCAAAAACAUCCAGUACCUUAUGCACCUGAAGGGAACGAUAGCAUGACAGUGAGAUCUCUAGCAAUAAGAAAAUUAUUUGUGAAGUGGCUCAUCAUGUUGCGGUCACCACCAUCCAACCCAACAAUGGAUAAGAAUCUUAAUGAAAGGACAUCCCAGUAUGCUACAUCCAAAACUCAGCACAGUAUAGAUGGAACAAAGGCAGGGAGUAUUCCAAAAGCUAUGCUUGUAUACCUCUUAGGAGUUGAUGCUGCUAUAUCUAUCCCAUUUUUUAUAUUUAUCCCUUUGUUUCUAACUAUCAAAGUUGUCCACGGAGCUGAAGCAGCAAGGGACCUAAUGCCAUUGUGGAUAGCUGGGCCUCUUAUAGUUGCUCUCUAUAUAAAAGUGAUUCAGAGGAUAUGCUCAUUGUAUGCUUUCCUCUUUGUCCAGGGUGGUAAAUUCGUAAUGGAUCUGCCCAAGCAUGCUCUACUUGUAUACAGUUGCAUAGCUGAGGGAAAACUCAGGGCAUAUCUGUGGACUUGUUUUGUUAAGCCUUUCGUAGACAUCAGUGCCUUCAAAUACAAGGAUUAUUUUAGCCAGAAGUAUGAACAACUUAAAGUAGUGGCUGCCGAGAAUUAUAUCAGUUUGGUUGAAUCAAUCUGGCCAUAUUACUGCAGAACUAUCCGUUUCCUGAAGAGAGCCAAUCUCAUUUAGCAACUGAUUACCUCCCAACUACAUCUAUAUCUUACAGCAGUGAGCUCAUAGCUUUUUGCAGAUUGAGUGCGGAUUUUUCCUAAUGGUUCUUGUUGGAGACUGGAACAAAUUUUUACAAAUUGAACCUAAGAAUCCCUCCCAGAAGAACAAGGUGAGAAUAACAUUGAUGAGAUUGGAGGCUCAGAUGCUUGAAUGGACUGGACAGACAGUAUACAUUCCAAGGACCUUACAAGCUUUUGCAGAUUUGACGAUCAAAUGAUUUUCUUUUUUACAUAUAUACUAUCUAUGCUUAAGAAUGGUUUUGGAGAAGAAAAAUACAGUAUUAAAUUAUUUAUGCUAAUCUAUUUUAGUUUGUUAGACCUGGGUUGGAUAUUAAGAAGUUCUACUGUUUUAUUUAUGUUUAUAAUUUCGAGAUAUUCUAACA
Zingiber officinale is the source of this 1740-nucleotide RNA transcript. RefSeq lists it as uncharacterized. The record is from RefSeq and is a predicted model, not a curated record. The transcript has 6 exons. NCBI's taxonomy places the organism in Eukaryota, Viridiplantae, Streptophyta, Magnoliopsida, Zingiberales, Zingiberaceae.